RNAcentral lists this ribosomal RNA (435 nucleotides) under uncultured bacterium. Its description in RNAcentral is "partial 16S ribosomal RNA". It matches the Rfam family "Bacterial small subunit ribosomal RNA", at positions 30 to 507 of the family's 1533-position model. The record is from RNAcentral.
AGCGAACGCUGGCGGCAGGCUUAACACAUGCAAGUCGAGCGGGCACUUUCGGGUGUCAGCGGCGGACGGGUGAGUAACGCGUGGGAACGUGCCCUCUGGUUCGGAAUAACUCAGGGAAACUUGAGCUAAUACCGGAUACGCCCUUUUGGGGAAAGGCUUGCUGCCGGAGGAUCGGCCCGCGUCUGAUUAGCUAGUUGGUGAGGUAACGGCUCACCAAGGCGACGAUCAGUAGCUGGUCUGAGAGGAUGAUCAGCCACACUGGGACUGAGACACGGCCCAGCCCCCUGGGGGGGGAGGCGGGGGGGAAUAUUGAACAAGGGGCGCAAGCUGAACCAGGCCAUGCGGGGGGAGGAAAGAGGGCGUAGGGGUGGAAAAGCUUUUUUCUCGGGACCGAAAAGGAGGGUCCGGGAGAAAAAAGCCCGGGAAACCUUCGUC